UUUGUCUUUCCUGUCAGUUAUUGACUUCAUCAAGUCAUCCUCAAACGUUAUGGAAUUCUUUCGGUUUCUUUUUCUUUUGUUUCCAAUCCUUAAUUCCUUUCCCUUUUAUCUUCCACAAUUAUGAUUUUAUUUUACUUUCUUUCUCUCUUCGAACCAAACAACUCACUAUUUUGUAUUUUACUCACACUUCUUCUUCAACAAUUUGUAAAGAAGGAAAUUUUUUGAUAUCAGUUUGAUCGAAAAUAAUUAUGUUUCUAUAUUUAAAAAAUCAAAUUAGUUUCAGAUGGUUUUUCGUUGGUUUAUCAAUACGGGUUGUGGACUCAUGGUUGAAGGAUAUCGUUAUUCGGAGAAAAUACUGAUGCAAUUUGUGGCAUUUAAUUUGCAUCUUCUUGAUCAACAAAUACUCCUCAGAUUGAUGGAGGGGUGAUGUAAGUAGAAUACAUCGAAUUUGGGAGCAGUUGAUGGUUUUGAUUGAAUCGACAAGGCAAUAGGUAUUUUUGUUUGAAUUAAUUUUUACAAUUUAAUCUAUAUACCCGAUGUUUGCUUUGACAAUGUAUGGUUCCAAUUUCAACAAUUUUUUCUCUAACUUUCGAGUUUUAAUUUAGAUCUUUAGUGUUGAUGUGAGAAUUACUUAUUAACUUAGUUGUUAUCGCUGUUUAGAAAUUAAAUUGAUAGUUGUUUCAUGGAAAAAUCAUAAUUUAAGUUUUUUUUUUUUUUUUUUUUGAUUCCAAUGAGCCACAAGGGCAAUAUAAAUUACAAAUGGGAUGGGGGAUUCGAACCCGAGACCUAUUGUACACAGGCCCUCAGUCUUAACUACUAGGCCAAGACAUCAUUGGUAUAAUUUAAGUUUUAAUUGUGUGGCUUUUUGUUAUUUUUAGUUAGGUUUUUAUUUUAUUUUUAUAAUCAUGGCCGAAGCACACUAUUGUUGAAACUUGAAAGAAAACUGAUGCAAUUUGUGUUGAUAUUUAUGACCAGGUAAUUACUUUAUAAUUUUUUUAACCGUUUAAUUGUUGGUUUCUUUAUUCCUUUUAAGAUUUAAUUAAGAGUUGGAGAAAAUUUGGAUUCUAUCAUUUUUAAUGUAUGUCCUGUAAGAGUAUACCAAUGUGUUGAAUUCACUUGAAUGAUCUUCAAAUAUAGAAUAGAUAGUGUUAAGUACUGUUUGCAAAUAAUAUGUUACAAGUUCUAGAUUUUAUAGUUUGACCACGGAUUCAUAAGAUAAUGAUUUAUUUUGUGUGAUAUGAAGUUUUUCUAAAAGUAAUGAAUUGGUUGUGGAAUCUUGAUGCCCCUUAAAGUUGUUUGAAAAUCUGUUUUCUAUUCUUCAUCACUGGAAUUGUUACGAAUGUUGUAAUAACAAUUAACAAACGUUCUUCUUUUUUAAAAAGCAUACAAAUUUUGAUUAAUUCUAGAAUCUCUAUAAAGGGGAGUUAAUUUAAUGAUCCAAAAGAUCACACACGCGUGAUGUUGCAAGAAUCAAGUGCAGAGUGGUUGUUAUUGGGUAAUUUGCAAGCCUCAUAAGACAUGGGAAUUCAUAGAAGCAAUAUGGUAUGGUCGUUGCUUCAAAAAUAUAAGCCUGAUAGUCGUACUGAAGGUCUUAUAGCCGUUGGCUGUAUGUUCUUGGUUGCGAUGCGAUGCGAUGCGAUAUUGUGAGAACAGAUGUACCAUUUACUAAUUUAAUUCUCUUUCCCCGGGUGAUGUUGCUACUCACUACUGUUCUCUUAUGAUUUGAUCUAUUAUUGGUGGUGAUUCCUUAGAAGCAACCGUUGUGAGUUUGAUUCGUUGUUGUAAAAAUACAUCAUAUGUUCUAAUUUGAUAGUAUAAAGCAACUCAUUUACUUUGCUAUACAAAUGUAAUGGCUAUACUUUAAAACAUCGAGUACUGACUACUUAUGAGAAUAAUAUGUGAAAGAGUGUUUCACUUAAUUUUGAGAAAAUAUGUACUUUAUAGUCAUUAAUUUAUUUAAAAGAUUAA
Spinacia oleracea (spinach) is the source of this 1968-nucleotide long non-coding RNA. RefSeq lists it as uncharacterized. Lineage: Eukaryota; Viridiplantae; Streptophyta; Magnoliopsida; Caryophyllales; Amaranthaceae. The transcript has 2 exons. The record is from RefSeq and is a predicted model, not a curated record.